Long non-coding RNA from Ictalurus punctatus (channel catfish), 1254 nucleotides. NCBI's taxonomy places the organism in Eukaryota, Metazoa, Chordata, Actinopteri, Siluriformes, Ictaluridae. The record is from Ensembl.
GAGAGAGAGAGAGAGAGAGAGAGAGCGAGAGAGAGCGAGCGCCGGGAGAGGAGCUGUUCAUAUUUCACUGCUUGCCGAGAAACGACCAUUUACAUGUUGGAUUCUGAAUCAUUUUAAAGAAAAAGACUCGACUCCCGACGGAAUUGAACUCUUUCUCGUUUUGAGCCGACCUCCAAAGAUCAACCACGAUUCGAAACCACAGACGUGUCCUGCAGCCAUGAGGAGCAGUGGAGAUCGCUAAGAAGUGUACGUAUUGAAGUAUUUAUAGUAAAUGUCAUGGUAAUGAAGGAGAAGAGCUGUUCAGUCCGUACAGUCUGUUUGUGUGUGUGUGAUUGUUGCAGUCAAAAAAGCUUGCUUUUGUGUUUCUCUCUUUUUUUUCUUUUUUUUUUUUCUUUGUUUGUUUGUUUUUUUUUUUAAUUUGCGACACAACUUGUGGAGUUUUUGUGCAUGCUUUUUUAAAAUAUUUUUAUUUUUUUUUGUAGAAAACCUCAUGAAUUUUGCACGAUCGUCAGCAGUGACGUUUGUUGGUAAAUGAGACGUUUUAACUGUGCUCGUGUUCGACACGUGAAUCGAAGACCGCUUCGGUCGCAUGUCGUGAUGACGUCACAUGGCGCGUCUUGCAAGCUCCUCCGAAUAUCGCAGAGUUUGCUUGUAUUGUGCGUUAAUUCGGUUGUUCAGUCAUUUCUCCUGCUGAUAGAUGAAUUAAUGUGUUACUUAGACGUUAUAUGUCUAUACAUUUAAACUCACGUUUAUUCUUUUGGCCGAUGAUUGAUUGAUUUUUAACCAAGUGAGGCAGAAUCCAAUCCAGGCAUGAAGACCUGAGAAGUCAGCCAGGACAAAUAUUGGAGGCUUAUACCGUUUGUUUGUUUAUUUAUUUAUUUUUCUCCCCUUCAGAUCGAGUACAAGUCUGUUUUUGGUAUUUGCUGAUUCUGAUUCCGGUACUGCUACAAAAAUGAGUAACCUACGUAGUAUAAAUCAGUCAGGGACACCACGGAACGUUUUAUUUAGCUCUGUUCACGUCCGCCCCAGUUUAAUUACGUGAGUAAAUAAACUAGGCUACUCGGCCCGUUCUUUAUUAUGGUAGCUAGUUGGAUUUUUUUUUUGCCACGGAUGGAAUAGUGUUGCACUGAAUAAGAGCAAGGUUUUGUUUCAGUCAUGUGUGGCUGCGAGUAAAGUACGCUUUAUUCUUCAUAUCCGCGUCGGAAUCCCCCGUCUAUGAACAGUAGUGGCCGAUCAUCAUGAUCAAGAGCUGUU